This is a long non-coding RNA of Cavia porcellus (domestic guinea pig), 1891 nucleotides long. RefSeq lists it as uncharacterized. NCBI's taxonomy places the organism in Eukaryota, Metazoa, Chordata, Mammalia, Rodentia, Caviidae. The transcript is spliced from 2 exons. The record is from RefSeq and is a predicted model, not a curated record.
CAUCACUGGUCAUUGAAGAAAUGCAAAUUAAAACAAUGUUAAGAUUCCAUCUCCAGAAACAAUGGCUGCCAUCAAGAAAUCAACCAAUAACAAACAUUGGUGGGGCUGAGGGGAAAAAGGAACACUUCUCCAUGUUGGUGGGAGUGUAGAUUGGUACAACCACUGUGGAAAUCAGUGUGGAGAUUCCUCAAAAAACUAAGAUUGGAUAUCCCAUUUAAUCCAGCUAUUCCCUUUCUGGAUAUCUUCCAAGAAGAACUGAAAAUGUCAUGCUACAGUGAUAUGUGCAUGUUGGGAGCCGCAGCCCCGAGCCCGGUCGCCUUACUUGGCGGACGUGCGGCCUGUAGUAAAGAGCAAAGCCUGAGGUAGAUUACCCCUCCCAUCGAGUACGCCAGUUUCCUGCUUACCGCGUAAGCAACCCGCUCAACAAUAUAGUCUGCCUGGCAACUGAUGAUGUUAGCCAAUCAGCUUGCCUUGCUUACUUUAACAUGAUUGGACACUGUACCCGUAUAUAUACUGGUGCCACCCCUGGGAGGAAGUAGAAGCCAGGUAGAAGCCCGGAAGUAGAAGCCCAGAAGGAGCCGCGGAGAGCGGACCGAUAGAGGCUUCGGGGCAGACUGAAGCACAAGAGGAGCCGCGGAGAGCGGACCAAAGGAGGCUUCAGCUGGGAGAACCCAGGGCAGGCUGUACGGAGAAGAAGAAUAAAAAGAAAAGGUUGUCCACUCCCAGACUUUGUCGUGUGUCCUUCCGCCGGCCAGAAGCGACCGCGACAUUUGGUGGCCCGCCCGGGGACUGAUCACCCCCGAGACGUAGUGGACAACGCUCCAGUACAGAGCUGCGAGACAGGAAUCGGGACGAAAACCACUGUGGAUACCGGAGAGACUGACACGGGCAACAAAGCCCUCGACUGAAGAUCAGACCUGCCCUACCGGAGAUCCAUCACAGACCAACCAACAAGAUGAAUAGAAAUAGCGGUAGCCCGAAAUGGACAAAAAGAUCCUCAGGCAUAUGCAUGGCUUGCUCGAUUGGCCCACGACCGAGUCUAGAUAUGGCGGGCAUCCUUCAUUCUCCUCCAUAAGGUGACAAUACACAGCAGGGUAGAUGAGUCAAUGACGGGUAAGAGCGUGCCUCCCCAGCACGACUCGACCUAAGCCAGGCCCUACCCCAUCCUGCACGUAAGCCGCUGGACUGUUAGAUGCUGCCCAGGUCUAAAUUUCUCUCCAAGGGGAUUUCUUUACGGAGAGGAAAUGAGUGCAAGCUUGUGUGCAUCCAGGUUCCGUCCAGUUUGUGCCUGGCCCUAGAAAAAGGACGAGGGCCUCAGGGCCUUGGCAGACCAUGGGACGGCCGACCAGGGUCUAAGCCAAGGACCUACGGUGGGCCUACGCAUAGGGCAUAAGCCUCUGCACCCAGUCCAGGAAGGGCUACGAUGCGCACAUUCAUAAAAAAUAAAAUAGGGGGAGAUGUUGGGAGCCGCAGCCCCGAGCCCGGUCGCCUUACUUGGCGGACGUGCGGCCUGUAGUAAAGAGCAAAGCCUGAGGUAGAUUACCCCUCCCAUCGAGUACGCCAGUUUCCUGCUUACCGCGUAAGCAACCCGCUCAACAAUAUAGUCUGCCUGGCAACUGAUGAUGUUAGCCAAUCAGCUUGCCUUGCUUACUUUAACAUGAUUGGACACUGUACCCGUAUAUAUACUGGUGCCACCCCUGGGAGGAAGUAGAAGCCAGGUAGAAGCCCGGAAGUAGAAGCCCAGAAGGAGCCGCGGAGAGCGGACCGAUAGAGGCUUCGGGGCAGACUGAAGCACAAGAGGAGCCGCGGAGAGCGGACCAAAGGAGGCUUCAGCUGGGAGAACCCAGGGCAGGCUGUACGGAGAAGAAGAAUAAAAAGAAAAGGUUGUCCA